This 62-nucleotide transfer RNA is filed under the name Aulacus sinensis. RNAcentral's name for it is "tRNA-Arg". The record is from RNAcentral. Lineage: Eukaryota; Metazoa; Arthropoda; Insecta; Hymenoptera; Aulacidae.
UAAUAAAUUUAAAUAUUAAUAAUCAAUUUCGACUUGAUUAAUGAUAAAAAAUUAUCUAUUUA